Molecule: long non-coding RNA, 537 nt
Filed under: Physcomitrium patens
Lineage: Eukaryota; Viridiplantae; Streptophyta; Bryopsida; Funariales; Funariaceae
Description: long non-coding RNA (PPAT_LNC008090)
Source: RNAcentral
AAAGAUUGUUAAAGGAUUUAAGGAUUUUGGGGAGGUACCACUGUAAAGCGAGAUUAUGGAGGUACAAAAGAGGAGGUACUCUCGCGGGAUGAAGGUGCCUUUGAUGCGAGUUUUAUUGGUAUUUUGGAGAAUGGAAAUAUUAUGUAUAAGAAAGUUGAUGAUUUUAAAAGAAAAGAAAGAAAAAGAUUAUAUGAUAUUGAAGGAGAAUUAUGCAAGUUAGAUAUGCAGCAAGAAGAUGAAAGUGAUUUGGAUAAUGAAGGUGAUGAAGACGAACUGGACAAAGAUGUAGAGAAUAUAUUAUAAAUCAAACAGUAAUUGGGUAAAUUGGUGCAUACCGAAGGAUGCACAGGUUCAGAGGGGGUGGAUAUCGUGUUGUGACAUGAGUAUACUGUGAAAAUAUAAAGAAAGGGGACUUUUAUUAAUGUUCAGUUACCUCGAAUAUUGAAAGCAACAACCAAUUCUAGUGCCAAUAUUCAGGGGCCAGUUCAGAGACCUCGUCACAGUCGGUCAAGGCAUACUUACCAGUAACGAAAUUCU